GGAAGUAUAGGCUCAAGGAGGCUAACAAAGAGAUCAUAACAGGGUAGGCUAUCUGGCUAGAGAGGCUCAAUCAACAAAAUGCCUUUAUCAUUUUCAAACAUGCAUAUCAAUCAAGAAUCAUCAAAAAGAGUAAAGCCAAGGCAUAUGCGCAAGCAAUCAAGAGACAUAUCACACACAAGAAAGAAUAUCAAGUGGCUCAAAUCUCACACAUGGUAAUUUCU
RNAcentral lists this long non-coding RNA (221 nucleotides) under Vigna radiata. RNAcentral's name for it is "long non-coding RNA (VRAD_LNC004697)". The record is from RNAcentral. Lineage: Eukaryota; Viridiplantae; Streptophyta; Magnoliopsida; Fabales; Fabaceae.